UCCAGACUCCUACGGGAGGCAGCAGUGGGGGAUAUUGCACAAUGGGGGGAACCCUGAUGCAGCGACGCCGCGUGGGUGAAGGAGCGUUUCGGCGCGUAAAGCCCUCUCGGCAGGGAAGAAGGAGGACGGUACCUGACUAAGAAGCCCCGGCUAACUACGUGCCAGCAGCCGCGGGAAUACGUAGGGGGCAAGCGUUAUCCGGAUUUACUGGGUGUAAAGGGGGCGCAGACGGCAGCGCAAGCCAGGAGUGAAAUCCAUGGGCUUAACCCAUGAACUGCUAUUGAAACUGCACAGCUUGAGUGAAGUAGAGGUAGGCGGAAUUCCCGGUGUAGCGGUGAAAUGCGUAGAUAUCAGGAGGAACACCGGUGGCGAAGGCGGCCUGCUGGACUGCAACUGACGUUGAGGCCCGAAAGCGUGGGGAGCAAACAGGAUUAGAUACCCGAGUAC
This 447-nucleotide ribosomal RNA is filed under the name uncultured bacterium. RNAcentral describes it as "partial 16S ribosomal RNA". It matches the Rfam family "Bacterial small subunit ribosomal RNA", at positions 330 to 793 of the family's 1533-position model. The record is from RNAcentral.